UGAAUAAAUAAAUGAAUGAAUAAUUUAAGACUCCAUUUCCCUUGGUAUCUUUUUAAUUUGAAUCACUUUGUUCUGCUGAAACAUUAUUGUAGCCCAGCUAGGGUUAUAUUAAGUAUAAUUUAUUUUAUUUUCAUGUAAUGGGGCAUUUAUAUUUGUUUGUGGUUCAUAUAAUAUCAUAACUGUGUCUGUGUAUACUGAUAAACUAAUUGUGCACGUCCCCUUUAAGAGUUACUGCAGAUCGGUGUGAGUUUUUUUUUUUUUUUUUGUCUCCUGCAGGUUUUAAGGCUAAUAUAGAGUAAAUAACCACUGACAAAGUGUGUUAAAGCGCCUGUAUUUGGCUGACUGAGUGUUAUUACUACUUUUAUUUAUUUUAUUUGUGUAUAUAAUCUGUACAAGAGUAAAGUUUACGAGUUGUUUCUUCUGAGUGCUGCACAGAGCAGCCGAAGCUACGCUAAUUCUCGUGACUAUCUGACUGCUUUCCUACAGUCCAACAUUGCGUUUAGUUUAGUUAACGAUGUGACUGGGAGGAAUUCAUGGACCAGUUGGGACUUACCUCGGACGUUGCUAUGGAGUAUCGUUGCUAUGGUGAUAAAGGAUCGCGCUGCUGUUCGGUAGAUGAGGGACUACAGAAAGAUGUACAGCUUCAGAGGAGGGAAUUUCGUGUUCCAGCCGCCUGGGAAUCCGUUCAGAUGAAGAAAAGCACUGUUUACCUGGAAAUGUUUUACAUGGAUCCAAUGCGGGACAAAAGGAUGAAAAAGAAAACCCUUUAAAAAGCAUAAGAACUCCUUGUGGCACUGCAUCACUGCUUUAAUAAGAACUCUGAAUUAUUUUUGUAUCUAAGCUUUUCAAUCAGAAUGGUUCAAUCUGUAAUUCUAUUUAUCAGAAUCAGAAAGAGCUUUAUUGCCAGGCGUGUUUUCGCAUGCAAGGAAUUUGUUUUAGUGACAGAAGCUCCACAGUGUAACAGAAUGACAUAUACAAUAUAGGCAAAAUUGUAUGUACACACUGACAGGUUGAAAUGUGUAAUUGAAAUAUACAUACAGUAUACAAUUAUAGGCAAUUUGUAUGUACUGAUAUGCAAGUGUGAAAAUGUGCAAUUGAAGUAAAUACACACACACAUGAUAGCCUUUCAAUAAAGAGAAAGAAUUGCACCUAUAUAAAGCUAAUUAUAGAUAAGCAAUAAAUAUGCUUAAUACCAUUAAGAUAUUAGAACAAAUAUUUAGCUUUAGGCAUCCAUUCUUUUUUUUUCUUUUUUCUUAUUAAAAAGAAAGAAAGAAAAAAAAUAAUAAUGUAACACAAAUCCUAUGCAGAACUCACAAUAAUCCCUGGGGGAAAAGUCUUGUGAGGAAACCUUAUUAGUGCUCUAAGUAACAUUAGACCUGUUGACCAAAUCUUUAGCCGUCAGUCUUUUACCCUCAAUAACAGUGAAGGGACCGUGAGAGCCAGUCCGCUUUCCUUCUCUUCUCGCUUUCUCCACCAUUGGCCACAAAAGAGCCCUUGCAUCCUUGUCUUUCUGCGAAAGGUCCUCGAAUACCUUAAUCUUCUUCUCCCUGAGAACGGCUGAGGUUUUGCUGUCUUUCCAGACUUUGUCCCGCUGGGAACGUGAUGAAAACAGGAUUAUUAUACGAGGAUUUUUCUGCAGCAGAAUGAGGCCCCAGCCGAUGAGCGAUGUCAACUCCUCGGUGCAGAUCAGCAGUGAUGCUUGGGGAGACCUGGCUGAAGAGGUCGAUGACCAUCUGCUUCACGUUCUCUCCUAAUUUCUCCAGAAUACCAGCGACACGCAGAUUCCAUCUUCUCUUGUAAGCAUCCAAAUGGUCCCAUUUGUCACGAAGUUCAACGUUUUCUUUCUCCAAUUUUCCGAUUUUUCUUUCCAUUUCGUCAAAUUUUUCUUUCAAACACUUCACUUGUUCACUGUGGAAUUCGAGAGAGCUGAUUAUCUGCUUAAUAGAACUCGAGUUCUCAAUGACAAUCUUUUCAACUCCUUGAAUUCGGUGCAAAGUUCCAUUCUCUGAAUGAAUCUCCUUAGCAUAGCAUCACUUACUGCUGGACUAUCAGAACUCGGUUUGCUUUUUUUGGCAGGAUUCGGUUCAGGUGUAUCAGGUAAAGGCACGAGUCCACAGGACUGUCCAGCAACAGCAUCCAUAUCAGAGCUCAGGGUUCUCCUUGCAUAUCUGUGCAUAGCAACACUAUAUUGAAUCACUUUAUGCUGCUACAGUAUAUUGAAUCACUUUGUACUGUUAUAACACAGAGAAACGUGUGUUGAGACUACAUCUGUAUGACCUGCACUCAUGAACCUAGACCUGUAGUGUUCCCAAGCCCUGGUGAGGUCGGACGAGUGUGAAAGGGCAAUGCCUGCACUCUGAGCACCAAUAUACGUCAAGAAGGGUGAAGGUUCACUUAAAGUUUAGUGCUGUCCACAUGAAUCACACAUCCUAAAUAUCCUGUCACCCAACAUAAGUAUACAUUACUAGAUUCAGUUGUUGAAAUAAAAUAAAGUAAAAAUCUUUUUAAUAUUUCACUAUUUUUUUUUUUUUAAAACAACAAAUAAAAAAAUGUGAAAAUCGUGAAAAAAUAGAACAAAUAACAAAUUAAAAUGGAAAAUAAACUAAAGGAAAUGGGGAAACUCUUGAAUGAAAAAGAAAUUGAAUGUAUCUGAUUACAACUGUGAAGAAGGGAUCCAGAAGGAAGCUGAUUCAACAACAGCAGGAACAGACACUGUACCUAGACAGUUGGAUAAAGACCCAUCUUGCUGAAAGAAGAUUAUUGAAUUGUUAUAAGUUUUCUUUUUUAUUUUAUAGAACGAUAAGUUUUCUUUACCUUUUAUAUGAACUUAUGUAAUUGUUUAUAUGCUCAAGAAAUGAUAUAAUGUUCAGUAGCAUGUUUAAAUGUCAAGAUAGAGAGUAACAUUGAAAGCUUGAUGUAAAAUCUCAAGGUUUUGUGUCAGCAGUAUAAAAAACACACAGUCGGCAUAAAACCACA
Molecule: long non-coding RNA, 2976 nt
Organism: Tachysurus fulvidraco (yellow catfish)
Lineage: Eukaryota; Metazoa; Chordata; Actinopteri; Siluriformes; Bagridae
Exons: 2
Source: RefSeq, a predicted model, not a curated record